Pteropus alecto (black flying fox) is the source of this 2660-nucleotide long non-coding RNA. RefSeq lists it as uncharacterized. The record is from RefSeq and is a predicted model, not a curated record. The transcript is spliced from 4 exons. Lineage: Eukaryota; Metazoa; Chordata; Mammalia; Chiroptera; Pteropodidae.
UACAACAUGACUAUAAGAGCGGGGAGAGAGGUGCAUGGAGGGUGGGAAAGGUAGGGGCUAGGGGAAGUCACAGGGUGUAGGAUGUUGGAGAUUAAGACUAGCUUUGUGAGCUUGUGCUUGGCAGAGGCUCUGUGUCCAGUGCUGGGAAUACAGAGAUGAACAACAGUCUGGGUGUGUGUGUGAGUGGCAGGGGCAAGCAUGGAAGUAGACAGAUAUCUUUUCAAUGCAGCAUGACUCUCCAAACAAAAGUUGCAUACACAAGACAUCAAUGUCAUAUGGAAGGGGGAGCGAUGGUCCUGUUUGGUAGCCAGGAAAGCCCUCACAGCUUCCCAGGUAAGGUGGUGACAUCUACUCAGUCACCAGACCUGUGGCUCCACCUCCUUUGAUCUCCUCUCUAAAUUUAAUUCUUCCCAUCUCUACUCUAGCGGUCUUAGUCCCUCCCACCCUCAUCUCUCACCAGUCCCUGCAAUAACCGGUCUUCUCCAACCCAUCUUCUACAGCAGCAAGAUCUUCCUCAAAUACAAACAUAAUCAUAGCCCCCUUCCCUCACAUCCCUCCGGUUGCCUGGGAAUAUGGUCCAAGAUCCCUUGGCAUGACUUUCAAGCCCUCUGGGAUCUCGUUUCUGCUUCCCUUUUUAGCGUUAGCCCAAACUCUUCCUCCUCUUUUUCAAUCUUCACUUGCCCCCACCAUCUAAUUUCCUGCCAUGGUAUCCCAAGUGCUCCUUGCUCUCCCUCACCUCCCAGUCUUUGCAAAGGCUGUUCCUUUUGCCUAGAAUUCCUUUCCCCACCCUUCCUCAUCUGGCUAAUUCCUUCGUGUCCUAGUUGGCAUCUCUUUCUCCCAGACCUUCCUGACCUGUCGGGUUGAGUAGGGACCCCUCCUCCAUGUUCCCACAGGCUCUGUGCUUGCUUCCCUUUAGUCUUUAACGCACUGCCUCAUGAUUUCCCGCUGGACUGUUUGUUUGCUCAGACUGAGGGCUCCUUGAGGGAGGGAUGGAGGUGUACUCAUCUCUGUAUCUGCAGAGCCCAUUCGGCACCUGGCACCUGGACGGAGAAUGGUGCUCACUGUUGUUUGCAGGAUGAAUGGAUGGGUGUUCGGUUCCGGGGCAAGGAGGCGGGGUGGGGUUGGCACAGGACUAGGGACCAGGCUGCGGCAGGGGAAUGAAUAAGCGCCUUUGGAGAAGUUUGGGUGCUGGGGCUGCAGGAACUUGGCUUUCCUCCUGGGGACUGAGUAUGAAUCCCUGAGCUCCAUCUUAGGCUGCAAAGAGGUAAAGACGGGGUUCUGCCACCUGGAGCCUUCGCCUCUCUUCCCUGCCUAGCGCCAGCCUGCGCUGUCAUAGCAACAGUCCGCCCCGGCGGCUGGGCCAACCAAUGGCAGCCGGUUCUGGUGAGGUAAUGCUCAGCUCUUGUAGCGCAUUGGCUCCUCUUUGGCUCACGUCCCGGCCCGGGCUGCGGGAAGAAAGGGCGCGGGGAGCUGUGGGACCGUCGCUGCUUGGGUCGGUUCCGUUAGUCCCUCCGCUGCUUGCGUCCCGCUCGCCCUUCCUCCCUCUCCGUCUGCCCUGAGCAUGUCUGCGUCUGCCCUUCUCAUCUUUCUGCGCGGCGUUUCUGUCACCGGUUGCCUUGGUCCUUCUCUCUGUGUUUUGUCUCCUUUAGGGUCUCGGUGGCUCCUUCACCCCCUGUCUCUGCCCUGAGUGCAUCUCCCCGUCUCUUUGCAUCUCGGCUUCCCCGUCCGUUCUCCCUCCGGUCUUGCUGGCGGAUGUCUUCUCCAAACAAGGGUGCAGUGAGAGCUCCUUGACUUGCAGCCAGAAGGUGACUCACUGCUUCAGACCGCUAGGCCGGCCUCGCCAGUUCGGGGGCACCUUCUUCCCCAGUUGUUGGAAAGCUCUGGCACCCGGGCUCAGUUCUUGAGACCGUGGUGAGGCCCUGCUGGCCUUUCUCUGAUGAACCUCAACAGAAAUUUGUCCUAGUUGACAUGUCACUCAAAGGAAAGGUGGAACGUUCUAGGCUUUGGGACCAGGGAAGGACAUAGAGAAGACUUAAGAAAGAACAGGCAUAAAUGUCAGUAAUUACAGCAGAAGGGUUUAGGCUAGGCUCCUGGAGAAACACCCAGAAAACAAGUGGGUAGGCACUAGAAUGAGUGAAUGAAGAAGGUAGUUGGACUUCUGUUCUACCCUCUACCUCUUGGUCCAUCUAUCAAGAUAACAUAUUGGUGUUGCUCAGUGCCAGACUCUGUGCCGGCUUUGGCUCAGCCCCCUGGGCUCCAGGAUUUACAGCUCAGUCAGGGAGGCAGACACAUAAGUCCUGGGUUUUGAUAGGAUUUUGGAGGAGGGAAAAACUCACUUUGCCAGAUACACGCAGGGCCCAGGCAGAGAAGCUUCAUGGAGGAGGUGAUCUGUGAGCAGUCAUCCUGAGGAAGGAACUAUUAUCCCAUUCUACAGCUGAAGAAACUGAGGGUCAGAGAAGUCCCCUGGUGCCACAGGCUAUGCUACAGACCUGCUGGCUUAAUGAGAAAUCUGCUGAAGCAGCACGGAGGCCAGGGAUUACUCCAACAGCCCAGCUACAGCAACUCCUGCUGCAGAUGCCCUGGUGCACAGAGACCAUGUGUGCAUAUGCUCAAGUGGGCACAUGGCUCCAUGCGGAUGACUGGGUGUGAGGGUGAGUUAC